CCUACGGGAGGCAGCAGUGGGGAAUAUUGGACAAUGGGGGCAACCCUGAUCCAGCCAUGCCGCGUGUGUGAAGAAGGCCCUCGGGUUGUAAAGCACUUUCAGUGAGGAAGAACGCCUGGUGGUUAAUACCCAUCAGGGAAGACAUCACUCACAGAAGAAGCACCGGCUAACUCCGUGCCAGCAGCCGCGGUAAUACGGAGGGUGCGAGCGUUAAUCGGAAUUACUGGGCGUAAAGCGCGCGUAGGUGGCUUGAUAAGCCGGUUGUGAAAGCCCCGGGCUCAACCUGGGAACGGCAUCCGGAACUGUCAAGCUAGAGUGCAGGAGAGGAAGGUAGAAUUCCCGGUGUAGCGGUGAAAUGCGUAGAGAUCGGGAGGAAUACCAGUGGCGAAGGCGGUCUUCUGGACUGACACUGACACUGAGGUGCGAAAGCGUGGGUAGCAAACAGGAUUAGAUACCCUGGUAGUC
Molecule: ribosomal RNA, 465 nt
Filed under: Vreelandella stevensii
Lineage: Bacteria; Pseudomonadati; Pseudomonadota; Gammaproteobacteria; Oceanospirillales; Halomonadaceae
Description: partial 16S ribosomal RNA
Rfam family: Bacterial small subunit ribosomal RNA
Source: RNAcentral